This 73-nucleotide transfer RNA is filed under the name Chelonia mydas (Green sea turtle). It matches the Rfam family "tRNA". Rfam says of the family: Transfer RNA (tRNA) molecules are approximately 80 nucleotides in length. Their secondary structure includes four short double-helical elements and three loops (D, anti-codon, and T loops). Further hydrogen bonds mediate the characteristic L-shaped molecular structure. tRNAs have two regions of fundamental functional importance: the anti-codon, which is responsible for specific mRNA codon recognition, and the 3' end, to which the tRNAs corresponding amino acid is attached (by aminoacyl-tRNA synthetases). tRNAs cope with the degeneracy of the genetic code in two manners: having more than one tRNA (with a specific anti-codon) for a particular amino acid; and 'wobble' base-pairing, i.e. permitting non-standard base-pairing at the 3rd anti-codon position. Lineage: Eukaryota; Metazoa; Chordata; Testudines; Cheloniidae. The record is from Rfam by way of RNAcentral.
GGCAGUGUGGCCUAGAAGAUAGGAGCACCAGACUGGGACUCAGGAGACCUGGAUUCUAUUGCCAGUUUUGCCA